Molecule: long non-coding RNA, 44085 nt
Filed under: Sorghum bicolor (sorghum)
Lineage: Eukaryota; Viridiplantae; Streptophyta; Magnoliopsida; Poales; Poaceae
Description: long non-coding RNA (SBIC_LNC005387)
Source: RNAcentral
AAAAUUGAAAUCUCUCUCAAGUUUAGGCAUGACUAUUAUGAAUUAAGAUUUGCUCUAAACCUGAACUUGUGGGAAGAGUACUUGAUCUAGAGUCUAAGUCGUUAACAAAUACAAUAUGGGAAGGUCGAGCUGUUGUUUAUCUGUUCCUAGAAAUGCUAGAAUUCUAGAGAAUUUUAUCUUUGAAAAUCUUUAAAAUGUUGCAUGAUGAGUUCCUGUAUGAUGAGAGUUUAAAAUUCUACCACAGCCAUAUAUACAUGCUUAUUAGACUAUGAACCAUACAUUUACUUUUUACUACUUAUGAGCAUUGAGUGUGGUCAAGCUGUGUAGACCCUUAGGAGCUUGUCAUGCGGUUAAAAUCAAGAUUCACUUGCACGUUCACUCUUGCAUGCUACUUCCACUCUGGAAGUACGCAUCCACAUACAUCCACUCAAUUCCAUCUCCAGAUUCAUCUAAAAUUAUUCUACUCCUAUCUGGGAGAGAAUAGCCAAAAACUUUUUCCUAUCCCAGUUAUUCCCUGUGAAAUAAAUGCUCGAGUUAUCUUGGUUACUACCACUUGCUAUAUUAUUCUAGGAGGAUGAGUGCUCUCAAAAAAAUGAAUACGAGGAAAUAAAAAGGGGCAAGUGCCCGGAACCUCGAAGAAAAGGAAAAGUGAGACGAGAGGUAAAAAUGGACAAGCGUCCGACAGUAGAAUUAGGGGUACAAGAUACCCACCUGAGAGAAAAGAAAAAAAUAUAGAGCAUCUCAUUCUCCUCAAAAAGCUUCAAAGUGCAAGCAAGGUAUGGAUCCCCUAAAAGAGCAAAAGUAAAAUUAGACUUUCACCAUUGUUAUCACCAUCAUCACCAUACACCAUUCACUCGCCACACAUGCACAUCUUGAUUUGACUUAUUGACUUGGUUCUCUGGAUCCAUGGUUUGACUAUACAAUAAAUGUCUUGUAAGUAUGUAUACUUUAUCUCCCACCUAUGAGCUCCAGAUAUCAAAACCUUAUUAGAGUAGGAUGAGAGAGAAGGCAAUGUCACUAUGCCUCAUACCACAAAUACCACAUACUUUGAGAGAAGGCAUAUACCAUCACUGCCUUGGUAAGGAUCUAGAAAUAUCACAAAAGAGAGAUCUGAGAGAGCCAUACAAAGGAAUCUCUGAGUUUUAUUUGAAAAUCUGCAAAAAAAAACUCCAGGGGCCAGGAGGCCUGCUUAUCUAGGAGGAGGCACCUCUGCAUCCUUAUUUAUUAUUCAUAGACAGAGCAAAAGCUAGGGUUUGGAGAUGAGAGCUCUCCUCUCUUCUCUAAACUAGAGUAGAUAUAGAUAAUAGCGAGAUGGAGAGCAAGGGAGGAUUGGAGGAGAGGCCGGCCUGUCGGUUCUUCCUCCGGUUGUACUUCGCCAUGAUCAAGCUCUAAUCAAGCUUGUUCAUGGGAUGAUUCUAGUAAUCUACUUCUUAUUUCAUUAUGUAAUUACUAUCCAUGUAUGUUCUGGUUCAUAACUCUUUUGAGUACUUUAAUUCAUAUGACGCUAUAGGUUAGAGUUGUAGUAUAGGUAUAAGCGUGGUGCUUAGACCUAGAUUACUUGUGGAUAUCCCUUGUUAGCCGGAUCGCGUGGUAGGCCACGUAGGUGAUAGCUACGUAGUCCUCUGUAGUCCACCUCCCGUUAACAGGACUGGUAGGAGUCCUCGACCUUAGGUAUAAGCAUCCUCUGUGUUGUUUUAUACUUAUGGUACGCCACAGACAGACAUACCCCUUUGAAGUAGAGAAACCCUAGUUAUCCUCUCUAUUCUCCUAUUAUUGCCUAUAUAUUAGAUUGCUCUACUCUAUAUUCCCCCAUUAUCAUUUUACCUUUAAUAUUGUUCUUAUUCAAUUCUAUCACAUUUCCUAUUUACACCCACGUGUCUGUCUUGGUUAAGUUAGAGCGUAGUUAGUUCUCCCGUUUCCCUGUGGAUACGAUAAAACCUUUAACCGGGUAAAAGCUACAACGGUAUCCGUGCGCUUGUGGAUUUAUCUGUGUGUGUAUAAAUACCAUAGUACACUCUAGUGCCAUGCUGGGGAUGACAACCUAGUAUUCAAGUGGUGUUAGCAAGUGUCAACAGUACCUUUCUAGAUUUCCUCCAUUGCACCAAGCAUGACCUUAUGCUUUACUUCACUUAUCACCAGAAUUGCUGAUUCUAUGGGUUUGCUUGAAACAAAUGAAGUAGAGUACAUCUAGGAUGAUAGAUCUAUUUUAGAUGAGCAGAUUUUCAGAAGUGCAAAUUUGAUUAAGAGAGAUCCCAAAAAUGGCCUUAAAAUGAUUUAUGGGAACCAUCCUAUUGAGGUCUCUCUCUCCAAUGAGGACCUUUGGUUGUCUAAUGCUUCAUCACUAACCCUGAAGCUAGGAAGAGAGAAUAGAACCAACCCUGUUGCAGGGACAUACAGAAUGACAAGAGCACGGCCCCAUGCUGCUCAACAGCAAGCUGGUCCCUCUUAUGCACCACAAGGGGAGGAUGAGGUGAGCUCCAUGCACACGGAAACACCUCAUCACUCCAGGACGUCUUCAGCAACGCGCACCCCUUGCCCUCGUGGUAGGGGGAGGCGCCAACCACCAUCCGAAAUGGAGACACUCAUUAGCGAUAUGGAGAACAUCAACAUCGGACAACAGACCACCUUGCAGCUCAUGCAACAGAACAUGGACAUGGCCCAAAGCCUCCAAGCUGAGAGUGAAUACCGAUGGGACCAGUGGUUUGGGUAUCAACCACCUCAGUGAGCAAGAAGGCAAGCUUGGGGGAGAUUCUCUCCCCACUAAGGUAAGUUUAUCCAGGGUAAGUUUCCAAACACCCUAAUUUAAUUCUUGCUUUAUUGCAUUUUGUUUGUUUCCUUCUUGCAUCUAUAAAAAAGAAAAAAAAUAUUUAUUUACUUUAUUUCCUUUUUUAUAUAUGCUUCAUGUAUGCUAUCCUUCGUAUGGAAAUGGUGAUGAAAUUGCUAGUUAAUGUCUUUCUAGUACUUGUUUACAACUAUUAACGGUCCUUAAGUAUCAAAUAUAAUCAACAAAUAAAUAGAGAAAAGGACCCAAAUGCAACCGACACACAGACUUAGGGUUUUAUCUCACAGAAUUCCACGAGUUUUGGUGUUUGUCUAUAUCUGUAGGGGGUUAUUAGGAAAUAUGGAGGAAAGGCCCACACGUUAGGUUUACAUAGAGAUAAUUACAUGCCGCACAAUUUUCCCUAACCUAGAAGAGUCUAGAAGCCACGGGAACGAGCGGGAGGCCGAGCGGGCUCGGGGACAGGGCGCCCGCCCUGCUGCCUGGGCCAAUCAGGCUCCGUCUCGUGGAUAAUGCUCCACUGACCUAGAGGAUUAAGGAAAACCGUGCGAUUAAGGUCGGUUUGAUCCGACGGCCCUUAUUCAUUUGGAGGGACUAUAUAAGUAGGCCCCCUGGCCCCUGGAGGAGGCACCUCUGAAACCUUAAUUCAUUCAUUCAUCUCGGGAGAAGAAGUCUCUGAUCAAGCACUAGAGCCACCACAUCAACUAGAGCUACAUAGGAUUAGAACUAGAAGGAGUCAAUCUUCGAUUGGUUUCCCGAUCUGUCAAGAGGAUUCUCGGUAAUUCCUCUACUGUUCUUCAAUUGUUCAUCAUUGUUCUUCAAUAUUAUGAAUAUGACUUUGUUCUACUUCAAUAUAUUGAUUAUGACUUUGUUCUACUUGUUUAUAUUUGCAAUUAUAUCAUUCUUAGUUUAUCAUAGUUAUAUGCUUGGCUUAGUUAGAUUAGAAUUAUAUACAUGUUUAGGAUCAUAUAGCGUUUAUCCAUGUGUACAAUGGGUAAAUGAUAAGUAUUGUGUAGGCGUGGUGCAUAUACCGUAUUUAUCUGCGAUGGUACCCUAUAUGCCGGAUCGCGGGGUAGUUCGUGGUGGUGACAGCUCCAUUGAUUCUUAUAUAGUCCCCCUCCCGUGUAAAGGGCAGGGAGAACAACAUUAUUACAGGGGAGUGAUGGCUAUGUUUCUCAUCUUCCUUGAUAAUAUCACUAUACAUGGGCGUAGUCCUGUCUCGCAAUGAUUGCCAAGUAUAAUUGCACUAACUAUGAUAUGCUAGACUUUAUAGUUAAGAAUAACUUAGGAAAUAUUCUUGUAGUUCAUCCUAAUUCCAUGCUAAUCACUUGCUAGAAUAUCUAUUGAGGUGCUUAUCAUUAUUAUAUGUGGAUAGUUAUGCUGAUCAGAUUAAUUAUCUUUGUCACCAUUCAUACUUUAUCUAUAUUUUAUGUGACAUUUAUCCCUGUAUGAAAGAAAUAGAUAAAUGCUCUCUAUUACACAUGCAAUGAUAGAUACUCAAUUCCAUAUUUCAUUCCAUAAUCAACAUUGAUGAUUAGCAAUCCCUUCCCAGUGGUAAAAAUAUAAAUAACGAUACCUUGAAUACUUGCCGGUUAAAAUGCUACAUUGGUAUUAAUCUGUGUGCUUGCAGAUCUCAUUUAUUAUUCAGAAGAACAAUUGCAUAUUUCAAUACCGCGUCUCUCAAGUCAUGCUGGGGAUGACAACUUGGCUUAAGUGGCACGAGGGAUAGGUUUGGCAUUUUUGGCACCGUUAUCAGAAUUAGAAAACUAAGUCUACUUUUGGUAAUGACGUUAAGAAUGCCCAACAAGCAUUUUUGGUGCCGUUGUCGGGGACGGUUGAUUACUAAUAAGGAAUGAAUACGGAAUUUGGAGUCAUCAUUCACAUCACUAAUAUGAUUGAGAUUAUCAAUUCUCUCAUACAACUUUACCCCUGUAUUUUUUCUAUUUUGAUUAUUUUAUGCAAGGUAAUGUAUGAAUAGAAGACAUCUUCCAGGAAAUUUUGUUGACGACCCUGAAGCAUAAUUCAGAAAAACCAAAGCCAAGCUCAGAUCGUCAACACUUCAGCGCAAAGCUUCGUCCAAACCAGAAGACCGCCGAAGUUUCAUCCGGAACUUGUCGACCGAGUUCAAAGCCAUGGUGAACAUGUCGAUCAGCGAGUUCUCAGCUCCCACUAUGGACAACAUCCGCACUGGACCUGCUGUGGAGAUCAACCGCAACUUUGAGCUCAAGCCUAGGCUCAUCAACAUGGUGCAAGCCAACCAGUUCUAUGGGAAGGCGCACGAAGACGCUAGUGCUCAUCUCCAACACUUCUUGGAGAUUUGCAGCACAUUCACCAUGUCAGAAGUCCCCAGAGAUGAUAUACUACUUCACCUCUUCCCAUUCUCAAUGUUGGGGAGAGCGAAGCAGUGGUUCUACGCUACAAAUGAGAAGAAUACUACAUGGGCACUUUGCUCCACGAACUUUCUGGCUAAGUUCUUUCCCAUGGGCAAGAUCAAUGCCCUCCGUGGGAAAAUUACAAGUUUUCAGCAACAACAUGAUGAAUCCGUUCCAGAAGCAUGGGAGCGCUUCCAAGACUACAUCCUAGAAUGUCCCCAUCAUGGAAUGGAGAGCUGGCUGCUGAUGCAGACGUUUUAUCAUGGGCUCGGCAAUAGUGCCCUUGAGACCAUGGAUGCUGCAGCUGGAGGAGCAUUCCUGUCACUCACCAUACCACAAGCCACAGCUCUUGUGGAGAAGAUGGCAUCCAACCAAGGUUGGAAUGAAGAAAGGACCCAGACACGCAAGAGAGGUGGAGGUAUGCACCAGCUCAAGGAGGUAGACAUGCUGUCUGCCAAGCUAGACCUGCUCAUGAAGAAGCUCGAUGAUAAAGCUAGAGAUAAGAAAGAGGUCAUGCACAUCUAUGACUCUCACAUGACUUGUGAGGAGUGUGGAGAUACCGGACACUGAGGCAAUCACUGCCCUGAGAUGCUUGAGGACGUGAACUACAUCAACAACAACAACUACUACAACAACCGUCCUCAGCAAAAUCAAGGUUGGAAUCAAUAGAGGCCUAACUUCUGAGGUAACUACUGAGGUAAUUAUCAAGGUAACAAUUCUUGCAAUAAUAAUAAUAAUUUUCCACUUCUGAGAGAGUUAGUGUCUAAUCAAGGAAAGCUAAUGGAUAACCUAUCUAAGAAAUUGGCAUCUAAUGAUAAAAUGUUAAAAAAUAUAAAUAAUAGAAUGGAUAAUUUCUCUACUGCCAUCAAGAAUCAAAUUAGCUUUAAUCAAAUAGCUACUUCUGUUCCUGCUACUAACCCCGGUAUACCAUCACAAUCGCAAGGAUUAGAAUCUGCAAAUCUUGUAGACAUGUUUGAUGUAGGUAACUACUGGAGUAACCCCGUUGUGGAAGUAACUACUGACCUUCUGCCGGUCAAGAGAGGCAAUCCAGGAUGCCCCGUCAUCCCAAUCUCCAUCGGCAUGGUGGACUUCCCAGAAGCACUCUGUGACUUUAGCUCCAGCGUCAACAUUAUGCCCAGGGUACUCUUUGACAAAUUCAUUACAUGUCCUUUAUUAGAAACAACCAUGUGUUUGUAGCUUGUAGAUCAGACACUAAGUUCCCAAGGAGAAUAUUGAAGAACCUCUGUGUCCGAGUUGGUGCCUUGUACGCCCCAGCAGACUUCGUGGUGAUAGAGAUCGGUACUAAUGAGAGGGCACCCAUCAUCCUAGGGAGGCCAUUCCUGAACACCUCGGGAGCUGUCAUCUAUGCUAGUGUUGCCAAGAUCAGUUUCUACAUCAAGGGGAGGAAGGAGACGUUUUCCUUCAAGAACAAGACUACACAAAUCCUAGAGCAAUCCUGACAUGAACCAAGGAAGAGGACCAACAGGAGGAACAGGAACAAGCAAGUGUGGAGCGAGUCAGCUAAGAUGGUCACUGCAGUUCAUGGAGGUCAAGAUCGUCGACUCAAGUCACCAUUCCUGACCAAGAAGGACGACCCAGUGAAGGGUCGAGAUGGCAGACUAGAGGGGGGGUGAAUAGUCCUUUCUAAAACUUAUCGCGCCGGCUAACCGAAAAAAAUGCGGAAUUAAAACUAUCGGUCUAUCCAAGACUACACCCAUCUAUCUAAGUUCUCUAGCACCUUGAAAAGAUCCUAAACAAGCAAGCAAGGUGCUACCUUAGCAAGAGCUCACCUAACCAAAUCUAGAAGCAAGGUCACACAAACCUAUGCAACUAGUACUUUGCAAACCGAGGGAGCUCCUAUACAAACUAGUGAGGCAAAGCACACAAAGCCUAAGCUCACUAGCAAGCUCAAUAACAAGGCAACUAAUACCAAAUUAGACAGCGCAACUUACUUAGCUACACAAACUAAGCAAUGUGACUAACAAGGUUACACAAACCAAAUUAGUCACGCAAGGAAACUACUUCUAGCUACACAAGCAAGAAGGUAACUAGCAAGCUACACAAGCUAACUAAUUACAAGAGCAACUACACAAGCACAAGUAUAUGAAUGUAAGAACAAGCUUGUGUUUGGGACUUGCAAACCAACGGGAAGAACAAUGUUGACACGAUGAUUUUCUCCCGAGGUUCACUUGGUUGCCACCAAGCUACGUCCCCGUUGAGACAAGCUCCAAUGUUGCCGUCGGUCCUCUUGGUAGUGGUGACCCGCAAGUCACACUCUCCCACGUGGAGUGCUUACCACAAACUCUAGCACUUGACCCGGUCGGACCACAUUUCGCUCUUCACGUCUCGCUCAACUAGAGUUGCUCUUCGCGAUCCCCGCGGGGUGAGCACCGUACCCCUCACAAUCUCUUCUCCGGAGCACCGCACAAUCUCCUUGCAUGCUUCGACGGAGUCACAAGCCACCAAGCCGUCUAGGAGGUGCCAACCUCCAAGAAUAACAAGCACCACCAGCUUGCAACAUGAACACCUAGUGUCACUCGAUGCAAUCUCUCAAAGCAACGCAAUAGAAUCGCUCACUCACACAAUCGGAUGAUCACUAUCAAGCAUAUGUGAGUUAGAGGCUUUACUAGCACUCCCCAAGCAUGGACACUAAGUCCCAAGGGUGCUCGACGCCAGCCAAGGCCGGCCACCACUUCUAUUUAUAGCCCCAAGGGCUAAACUAGCCGUUGCCCCUUCAAUGGGUAAAGACGUGAGCUCCGGACUCACUGUAGGUAGCACCGGACGCUUGAACAGUGCGUCCGGUGCUCUAGAAACAGCCACGUGUCACUAGCCGUUUGAACUCGACCGUUGCCGCCAACGGCUAGCACACGCACGCGCGUCUGGAACAGUAGCACCGGAUGCUUUGCUGCUUCACACCGGACAUGUCCUGUGCGCACCGGACACAUACGCAGAGAGCAACGCAAACUUGCAGCAGCACCAGACUCUCAGCGUCCUGUGGCACCGGACUGUCAGCGUCCUGUGCCACCGGACUUGUCCUGUGCGCACCGGACUCUCAGCGUCCUGUGCCUGCAGUUCAACUUGUUAGGUUGCUAACUUCUAGCUCCGAACUCCGAAUUCGAUGAUCUUGGAUAUUUUGGAAAGCUUACUUAGAGUGCUAUCCAAUCUAUAUGAAUACUCAAUACAAAUCAAAAUGGAUCAAAGCAGUAUUCCAAUCUAAAAGCCAUCCUAAUGUUUGGAGAACAUCGAAAGACUUCUCUCUCUUCUCUAAGUUGAACAAAAUUAACUCCAGCACCUUCUCCUUUGCAAAAGUGCCAACAUCGCCAAGUGUACACCACCAAGUGCAAGUGUGUUAGCAUUUUCACAAAUAUUUUCCCGAAGGAGUUAGCCUCUCAACUUGCCACGCCACUCGAUCCUAACACGUAUGCAAAGUUAGAUCACUCAAGUGGCACUAGAUGACCGAUAUGCAAACAAGUUUGCCCCUCUUGAUAGUACGGCCAUCUAUCCUAAAUCCGGUCAUAAACUUCUCUACACACCUAUGACCGGUGAAAUGGAAAUGCCAUAGGUUAUACCUUUGCCUUGCGCUUUCCAUUCCAUCUCCUGUAAUGUUGAUGCAACACAUGCACCAAUCAAUCACCAAAUGAUAUGAUCCACUUCAUAUCUUCACGUGACAAUAUUGGUUCAUCGAUCUUGACCUCACUUUCUCUUCACCGUUGCCUCGGUCCAUUGGCGCCAAGUCUUGCUCAAGCUUCACCGUCACACGCGGUCCCUCAUUUCAAAGCCUCUGACUUGCUCUUCACUCUUGCAACCGGUCCAUCAAGCCAAUCCUCAUCUUGAUCUUCUCCACCUUGGUCACAUGACUCCAUGUCAUGUCUCAUAUGCAAUGAGAUCCUUCAUCACAUCAUCACCUGUGGACUAAUCUCCUAUGUAUCUCAUAUAAACACUAUUAGUCCACCUAAGUUGUCACUCAAUUACCAAAACCAAACAAGGACCUUUCAAUCUCCCCCUUUUUGGUAAUUGAUGACAACUCUACAAAUAUAUGGAAAUUAAGCUUUUUCAAGCUAGUACUUCACACAAGUGUAAAUUGCUAACUUAUUUUGGAUUUUAUGCUACUUAUCCAAUAUUUAAGCUCUAUGUCAAAAUUUAGAUAAGCACCAUAAAACCCUACUAAGUGCUAAGGUGUAUAGAAGAAACCUUUGUAGCUCGAUACCAAAUUUGAUAUCAUUUGAAGCAUUCAAUGUACACCAUCCUUAGCACCAAGCGUAGCUAGACAACAAAAACACUAGAAACCCCGUGAGAUCAACAUUAUAAGCAAGGUCUAGUCUUUACUUGAAGAACACAAGUCUAGCUACCAACCUAUGCAUGCUAGUUAUCAUAUCAUCAAUCAAGUUUUAUAACUAGCAUACACCACACAAGCAUGCAUAUUGAAUUUAAAAACUUAUGCAAUGCAAGCAAACACAUGAGUAUGCACAUAUCAAAUGCAAACAAUCAAGGUUCAUGAGCUUGCUCCCCCUACUUGUGUGCUUUUCUUUUGUCCAAGAAUUUUGAUCCAUCAUUUUUUUUAAUAUUGCUCCCUUGUCCGUGUCCAUCUUUGAUCUCUUCCCCUUGAAACAUAUCUUUUGUUGUCCAACUUAUCCCAUGAUCAUAUCUUUGUUCCAACUUCUCCCUCUUUGUCAUCAAUUUCCAUAAAAAGUAUGUGAUACCAAUUAAAUCACUUGAUACCAAUCAAAAAAGUGUGAAUCUCAUUGUGACAAAGGAUUUGUUGAUGCAAAACUGAUCUGCAAACACAAAGGGCUAAUACCCGAUUCAAACGUUAAGGCGUGCCAGCCGAUUUGACCUUACUAUCGGCAAAGGUGAUAACUCGAAUACUUUAGUCCUGACAACAGCGAUGCGCCCGGAUGUCACGGCUAAGAGGUACUCACGCGGAACUCGAGAACACGCCGAGCUUAAGUCAACGAAUUCCUAAGAACUCGUAAUAAAAGGGGUAAAGUAUGACGAAGUCGUCGAAAAAGUAGAUGCUGGAAUAUGAGUAAAAACGUGUGUUUGAUUGAUUGAUAGACGUCUCAUUACAAGGCCUUAGGGUCUACAUUUAUACCCUGCUCAAAGAGCUACAACCAGACACGAUUAGAAUUCGAAUUCCAAAUUACACAGAAUCCGUAUACAAAACGAUUUAAAUAACUAAGGAAAACAUAAAGCUAUCCCUCGUGACAAGCUGGAACUCCUCCACAAACCGAUCGGCAGCUUCCGGACUUUCCCUCCGUAUCAUCGGCAGAUUCCCUUGUCAUAGUCAUCGGCAGACUUCCUUGUCAUAGCCAUCGGCACAGACACAUCACCACCUAUAGACUUAGUCAUGCUCAACCCCUCCUUCAUCGGCAACCAUCCUCAUCGACAGCUCAUCCUGUAGACAAAACACCGCCGUCUCACUCUAUCGGCCUGCACUCUACCAAACAUGGACACGUGCCCAAAAACGGUGUCAACACAUGCCCCCCAAUUUCGGAGUAUGAAAUCAUUAAUGCUCCGAAAUUCUCUGCAGUAAUGAUGCCUUUUCGCGCAAUUAAUACUCCUAAUCUGGUAACCCACAACCUCAAUCUGAACAACUCUGAUCCUAUUCUUUUGCAGAUCCCUCGAAAUCCUCAACUUCCUAAGCGGGCAUUCCCUUUUUAGCCGCACAUCGGCAAUAUUACCAUUACAAAGAUUUGCCGAUGGACUGAUCAGAACGUUCGUACAAAUGGCUAUCUCCACUUUAUUCACCCAUCGGCAAUAUGACCGUUACAGGACGCUGCCGGUCAGGAGAUCCCGCACAGUAAAAUAUCUCUGGAUAAUAAUCGCUUCCUGUCAAAUCACCUGCACAAUCCCUUGAUUACCGUGCGAACAGUUACCAUAUCUACCUGAGUACCCUCGGAUUUCUUAGAUGCGGCAAAGAGAUAAGUCAGAUUUGCCCUUGCCCGCUUUGUCCUAUAAAUGGUUCCUUCUCGGGUACUCCUUCUCCAUUACAUCGUUCCACAAUCCCAACCUCACCUUUCCAGCGGCAGCGCUAUUCCAAAAGCUCCAAGACCUUCGAUGAAGCCCCUUCUUCACUAACUCCGAAGUCCUCGUUCGUCUCCCUCGUGGCAAGAUGGCUGUCAACUUCAUCAUUCCUGAGGUCAGUUCUUCGCGCCAUCCUUGGUACUUUUCUCGCACCCCUGUUCAUCCGCAAUCUUACUGAGUAUUUUUCUUUCUCUUUCUUUGUAUUAUUUUUUUUUCUACCUCCAAAACCAUUAGGAGUUGCCUAACAAAAUUAUCAUCCCCACCGAUCAACCACACCUUCAAUGCCUCGGCCCGCUAGGGGAUCCAGAUCCAACCGAUCUCAUUAACGCAGAAACCAACAGGAUCCCUUUUAGAGCUGAAAACUUUUCUUUAGAUCUGUGGAAAGACACCUUCCGUUCUUGGCCCAGCCCUACUGUGGGGUGGAAAGACUGGUUCUUGAGGGUCAGCAACUCCAAUGAAGUCCAGUGGGGUGAAAGAAAACUAGAUCAAUGCAUUAGGUUGUCCAUUGCCGAUAUGCACAGGAAUGAGUCACUGUUGAUAGCUACAUCCUACUUUUGGUCAGACACCCUCAAUGCUUUUGUCUUUGGCCACGACCCUGCUUCCCCUACUCUUGCCGAUGUAGUCAUGCUCACCGGUCUAGAUGUAUCUUCUGCCGAUAGCACCCACUUUUUUGACACCGCUCCUAGUGCCAAAGUGGAAACUCGCUCCAUCGGCGGCUGGUCGGGGUACAUUCAGAAGUACAGUGGGACGAGGCCCGUCAACAUAAAGGAACAAACCACCUUUCUGAAUAUGUGGCUGGACAAAUUCGUAUUCUGUGGUCGAUCGGCAGGACCGACCUCCGUCUAUCUAUCGGCAGAAGAGAGACUGGCUAAUGGUGGCCGAUUCCCUCUCGGCCGAUACUUGCUUGGCGCUGCCUACCAUCUUCUCCAUCAGGUAGCCAAGAAACUCCUGCUCGGCCAGUCCAUCGGCAACUUGGGAGGCCCCUGGUGGUUUAUCAACAUGUGGCUUAAUCUGCAUCUGCACAAGCGCCUCAACUUUAACUUGUUCACACAGCGUUUCCCAAGAGAUAUAGCUGAAAAUCAUGUGUUGGGUGAAGAAGAAUCGGCAACACGCGCUCCUUUAAACUUCGGCGAAGCCGUCAUAGUUCUGCCUGGUUCAGGGGGUAAUCCAGAUCAGGUCAGCCGAUUCUUCCAGACUUUGUAUGAGGGUUUGGCCAGAGAUGAAUGAGCAUGGUUGGCCUAUGAUGACCCAGACAGUAUGCUUCCCCUAGUUUUUAUCCCAUUUGAUGAAGCUCUUGACAGGGAUAAUGAAGUGAUGAUGGCAAUUGUGACUCCUAGAGUCAUACCAGUGAAUUUCUUUGGUAGUGGAAAAACCUCCCCCCAGACUUAUGAAUUUUACAACCCAUCGGCAUUAGCUCGUCAAUUAGCUUUCGGCCAGUUGCCGAUUGCACUCUGUUAUGCCGAUGUGAUAAAACCCAGGGAACCCAUCACCAACUUUCUUGAAUGGAUUCGAGUAGCCCAACUACCACCGAGUGCCGAUACAGAUGUAGAUUUGUCAGAGUGGGUUCCAGCCGCCUUCAUUACUCAGGCGUACAAGCUAUGGUGGACAGAAUGGAAGGAGCAUCUAUUCUGCAAAUCAGCCCUUUCAUACCGUGGCAUGAUAGACCCCGAGUACAAAGUCCCCGAUGAUGUUGUGUUGACACCGUUUUUAGGCACGUGUCUAGGAUGGCAGGAUAAGAUGACAGUAUGUGGUUUACGGGAUGAGUUGCCGAUGAGGAUGGUUGCCGAUAAAGGAGAGGUUGGACGUGACUAAGUUUACAGGUGAUAAUGUGUCUGUGCCGAUGACUAUGAUGAGGAGGUCUGCCGAUGACCAUGGCGAAAGAGUCUGCCGAUGAUACAGAUGGGGAGUCUAGAAGCUGCUGAUCGGGUUGUGGAAGAGUUUCAGUUUGUCACGAGGGAUAACUGAGUUAUUUCCUUAUUUGUUUAAAUCGUUUUGUAUGCGGAUUCCAUGUAAUUUGGAAUUCGAAUUCUGGUCGUGUUUAGUUAUAGCUCUUUGAGCAGGGUAUUAAUAUGGACCCUAGGGCUUUGUAAUGAGACCCUAGGGCUUUGUAAUGAGACAUCUAUCAAUCAAGUAAACACACGUUUUUACUCAUAUUCCAGCAUCUACUUUUCGACGACUUCGUCAUACUUUUUUCCUUUUAUUACGAGUUCUUAGGAAUUCGUCGACUUAAGCUCGGCGUGUUCUCAAGUUCCGCAUGAGUACCUCUUAGCCGUGACAUCCGGGCGCAUCGCUGUUGUCAGGACUAAAGUAUUCGAGUUAUCACCUUUGCCGAUAGUAAGGUCAAAUCGGCUGGCACGCCUUAACGUUUGAAUUGGGUAUUAGCCCUUUGUGUUUGCAGAUUAAUUUUGCACCAACACAUCUUUUGGCACGCCCAGUGGGACGAGAUUCAAGAUCAAGAUCAACAUGUCGAUCUCUGACCUCGAUCAGGAGAACGUCAUCCCCGUGACGGAGGCCAAUCUCAAGGACGAGCAGAAGCAGGCUAUUGCCCAAGCCAUGGAAGAGUUCAAGCUGCAAUGCCUGAGGUCUUUCAGCAUAAGCAGGAGCGGCGAGGUGAUUCAGAAAGAUGCACUGCCGGCACCACGGCAGGUCACCUUCGAAGCCAAUCCUGGCAAGCUUCAAGAUAUGGUUGACAGUGCUAUCAACCGAGCUUUGAUCAACCAAGCCGGUGUCCUGUCUAAUACGGUUUUCAAUGCCGUGGCAAGAACUUUCAAGGAAGGACAAAUCCCACCAGAUUAUGUGGGCCCCUCUCAUCAUCAGCCAACAGCACCAGAGGUCACGGCUCCAUCGGCUGCUUUGACGGCUGCAAGUGCACAAUCUGCCGUCCCUCCAAGUACAUCGGGAGCUACUGGUGCACUAUCUGUGCCGAUGACAACCAACCCACAAACUUCAAGUGGGCAGAAUAAACUGACAACAGACAUGUUGGCAUCGGCAAUGUCAGGGUUGACUCUUCCUCCUAACUGGUGGGGUUAUGGUAUACCUCCAGAAUUGACGCCAGGAACAUCACAGAUAACCGACAUGAGGGGCAAGACUCCUAUGACAUCAGCGCUUCCCAAUGUGCCGUUGAACCAGAGUCCCCGGUAUACAACAACUACUACUGCAAGGCCUCACACUGGGAAUCCUCAAGAUUCAAUGUUCCAGGUGCCUAAUGCAUCGGUAGACUCAAUGCUGAUGCAACAGAGGUCUAUGGCCCAGUCAGGAUAUGUCAAUUCAAUGAUGGUACCCACUUACCAAUCAUCGGCAGCGCCUAUGCCGAUGAACGCUAAUAAUGGAUGGCUUGGACAGCAAGUCUUUCCACAAUCACCCCAACAAAGUUACCAGGUUACGGGGUUCCAGCAAGGACAGAUCUAUCCCGGAUUCCAAAGUCAGGGGAUCUCCAGCCAGCCAAUGAAUAUUGGACAGCAAGUCGGUGGACAGCAGUUUGGCGGUCCGCAGAUGGGAGGACAGAUGAUCAAUCCGAUGCUCCGUGCAGAUCACGUCGCGAACAGACACGUGGAGGUUCGCCACCAAGUGCCGGACCCGCAGCCGCCUCAUCGGCAGGAUGCCGAUGCAUAUUGGGCCGAUAAAAUCGCUGAAGUAAUGAGGGAACAAUUUGGGAUAAAACCCAAAGUCAACACUUAUUCUUAUCGGACACCGUAUCCUCCUGCAUAUGAUUUGAUCCCACUCCCACAUCGGUACAAGGUACCGGAUUUUACCAAAUUUUCCGGGCAGGACGACACGUCAACCAUGGAGCACGUCAACAGGUUCAUCAUUCAAUGCGGAGAAGCUGGUAACAGAGACGAAUUGAGGGUUCGUCUAUUUUCAUCAUCAUUAUCUGGAUCGGCCUUUACUUGGUUUAUAUCAUUACCUCCCAACUCAGUGAUUACUUGGGCCGAUCUGGAGAAACAAUUCCACAAAUACUUCUUCUCCGGGGUUCAUGAGAAGAAGAUCACCGACUUGGUCAAGUUGAGACAGCGCAAUGAUGAAUCAGUUGAAGGUUUCGUGCAGAGGAUACGGGAAGUUAAGAAUAAAUGCUACAGUCUGGUUCUAGAUGAUCGGCAGCUAGCCGAUUUGGCUUUCUAGGGUUUAUUGCCACACAUCAGGGAUAAGUAUGCUUCUCAGGAGUUUGAAAGCUUAAGUCAUUUGGUGCAGAGGAUUUCUGAUCAAGACAUCAAGCCUUUCGAGCCCAAAAGAGCAUGGAACAAGAAAGUAUCGUUUGUUGAUGAAGCAACGAGCUCCGAUUCUGAUGAGGAACCAGUCAUCGGCUUGGCAGAGUGGGUCAAAAACAAGAAACCGAUGUCUUGUCCUUUUGGGCAGAAAGAACCAGAAAAGUUCGCUUUCGACACCGCUAAGGCCGAUAAGAUAUUUGAUUUUCUACUCCAGGAAGGUCAGAUCAAGCUGUCUCCUAAUCACGUGAUCCCAUCAACUGAGGAGUUGAAGAGGAUGAGAUAUUGCAAGUGGCAUAAUGCAACUUCUCAUGACACUAAUGAAUGCAAAGUGUUCAGACAACAGCUGCAAUCGGCAAUAGAGUCCGGGAGGAUCAAGUUUGACAGUUCCAAGACCCAGAAGCCGAUGAAGAUAGACCAACAUCCUUUCCCGAAAACAUGUUGGAUGCCAAGGGGAAGGCCAAGGUCUUAACAUAGGAAACAGCCGAGAAAAGUGCAUUGGUAGAUCCUCAGCAUCAAGUUACUACUGCCGAUGCAAAAAGUAAGGGCUUAGUCCAGGAAGGAACCAGUUCGGGUAGGCCCCCUCGGUCUGGUAUUGUUAUAACUCAUAGAAGACCUCGAGAGAACUGGCAGCAACGGGAAGAUCGGUAUUGGCGCUAGCAAGAAGAUUAUUGCCAGCAAGAAGAUUACCGACGGGAAGAAGAAAGACGCCGACAGGAGUGGAAUCGACAUAGAUAUCAUUGGAACUGCCCGUUCUUCAUCCAUUGUUGGGAGGAAAAUAUUAAGCUUCCCACUGUUAGAGAUUGUCCUGAGUGCAAUGGUUAUGAUCGGUACGACAGGACUGAUCGGCGUUAUCAUGAUGACAAUCGGCGAUUUAAUGGGCCGAUCAGAGGAAGAGCAUCAGUUCAUGAUCGGCUGGGGGGCAGGCUCACCGUGCACGAUAGGCUUGGAAAUCGUGUCCAAUAUUUUCCCAGAAACCAGGAAGAACUCGAGGAGAUGGCUAAUGCACGAGUUCCCGAUGAGUUCAUAUUUUGCAGGGAUGCUAACACGCAUCGGAUAGAGUCAAGGGAGAAUCGACGCCCAGCAGUAAGGCAGAAGCCACUUCCUCCAUGGUGUCCGGAAGGGUUGACCAAGACACAGAAAAGGAGAUUGCCGCGUGAAAGGCAAGAGGAGCUAAACAAGGGCGAGAACUCUGGAAGUCAGCAGCCAUCAGACACCAAGAGGGAAGGUCCAUCGGCGGGAGUUAACAUGGUUUUUAUGUUGCCGAUGGAGUUUCUUGCACCAUCUAGUGAUGAUGAGUUGGAAUUUUCUGAUCAGAUAGCUCAGCCGGCUCUGGAUCCGAUGACAGCUAUCUUUGAGAAACCUGCCGAUGACGAGAGACAACAUCUUAAGGCUCUAUUCGUCAAAGGGAGGGUUGAUGGGCAGCCAAUGACCAAAAUCCUAGUUGAUGGUGGAGCUGCUAUUAAUAUUAUGCCUUAUGCAGUAUAUCGGAAGCUUGGGAAAGGGGAUCCGGAUUUGACAAAGACCGAUAUGAUGCUCAAAGACUUUGAAGGAAACGUGUCUCCAGUUAAAGGAGCAAUAUGUGUGGAGUUGACCAUCGGCAGCAAAACCUUGCCGACAACUUUCUUCGUGAUCAGUGGAAAGGGUGCUUACAACUUAUUGUUGGGAAGAGAUUGGAUUCAUGCUAAUUGUUGCAUCCCAUCUACAAUGCACCAAUGCUUGGUUCAGUGGAUAGGUGACAAGAUUGAGAUUGUCCCGGGAGAUUCUUCUUAUGUCAUUGCAUCGGCGGAGGCGGAUACCUAUGAGAGGACCAAGUGCAUUUCAGGAGAAGUUUGGGAGAAAGAUUUUCUCAAAGUUGCCGAUUACGAGAUUCCACCGAUCCAAGCAGUCGGUUCUGACGACGGUUUUUAAUGGAUAGAUUCGCCGAUGAUGGAAAAUUAGGCCAGGGAUUGACAUCGGCCGAUGAUUUGGUAGAAGUAGAUAUAGGUAGUGGUGAUAAGCCUAGACCUACUUUUAUUAGUACUAAAUUAAAUCCUGAGUGUAAGCAACAAUUAACCGAUUUAUUAAAGGAAUAUAAAUAUUGCUUUGCUUGGGAUUAUACCGAGAUGCCUGGUUUAGACCGAUCAAUCGUCGAACAUCGGUUACCUAUCAAGUCUGGAUUUCGGCCACAUCAGCAACCAGCUCGUCGAUGUAAUCCUAACAUUCUACCUGAUAUUAAGGCCGAAAUCACCAAACUCAUUGAAGCCAAGUUUAUUCGGCAGUGUCGGUAUGCCGAGUGGAUAUCUAAUGUUGUUCCGGUUUACAAGAAAAACGGGAAGCUUCGGGUGUGCAUUGAUUUCAGGAAUCUCAAUAAAGCUACGCCGAUGGAUGGAUACCCAAUGCCUGUUGCCGAUCUGUUGGUUGAUCCUGCGGCCGGUCAUCGGGUCAUUAGCUUUAUGGACGGCAAUGCAGGAUACAAUCAAAUAUUCAUGGCAGAGGAAGAUAUUCCAAAAACUGCAUUUAGGUGUCCUGGUCAUGUCGGUUUAUUUGAAUGGAUAGUCAUGACCUUUGGGUUGAAGAAUGCUGGUGCUACUUAUCAAAGGGCCAUGAAUUUUAUAUUUCAUGAGUUCAUCGGCAAGCUGGUGGAGAUCUAUAUUGAUGAUGUGGUAGUUAAGUCUGGGGAUUUCUCAAAGCAUCUUGCCGACUUACAAAAGGUAUUAGAGUGCACAAGGAAGCAUGGGUUGAAGAUGAAUCCCAAUAAGUGUGCAUUUGGUGUAUCGGCAGGGCAGUUUCUUGGUUUCAUGGUACAUCAAAGGGGGAUUGAAAUUAGUCGAAGAUCUAUUGAUUGAUGCCAUCAAUAAAAUAGUGGCCCCUACCAACAAGACUGAGCUCCAGUCCUUGAUCGGCAAGGUAAAUUUUAUCAGGAGAUUUAUAUCCAAUCUGUCUGGUAAAAUUCAUGCAUUCAGUCCUCUUCUUAAAUUGAAAGCCGAUCAAGAAUUUGUUUGGGGAAAAGAGCAGCAGUUGGCUUUGAAUGAAAUCAAGAAAUAUCUAGUGAAUCCUCCAGUUCUAGUUCCACCUCAAUAAGGAAAGCCCUUCAGAUUGUAUUUGUCUACCGAUGGGACGAUUAUCGGUUUAGCUUUGGUCCAAGAAUUUGAAGGGAAAGAGAGGGUAAUUUACUACUUGAGUAGGAGGUUGAUUGAUGCUGAAACCAGGUAUUCGGCCAUUGAGAAACUAUGCCUAUGCUUGUAUUUUUCGUGUAUCAGACUAAGGCAUUACCUGCUAUCGGCCGAAUGCACUGUUGUUUGCAAAGAUGAUGUGGUCCGGUACAUGCUAUCUAUGCCGAUUAUGAGUGGCAGGAUCGGUAAAUGGAUUUUAGCGCUGUCAGAGUUCGAUCUGCGUUACGAAUCGGCCAAGGCAGUCAAAGGACAGAUUAUGGCCGAUUUUGUGACUCAGCAUUGCGGUGUAGUGGAGGCCUUGGAAAUUGUGCCCUGGACACUUUUCUUUGAUGGAUCUACAUGUGACCGGGGGGCAGGAAUCGGCAUUGUAUUAGUUUCCCCUAAGGGGAGGAAGUAUGAAUUUUCCUUGCCGAUUGUUGCUACGUCGACAAAUAAUCAGGCUGAGUAUCAGGCUCUGAUCGAGGGAUUGGAGUUGUUAAGAGAAGUUCGUGCUGAUGCUGUUGAAAUUUUUGGGGAUUCCAUGUUGGUUAUAAAUCAAUUGGCCGGGAGCUAUGAAUGCCGAAGUGAAGCUCUCGUAACUCAUUUCGAGAAAAGCAUGCGACUGUUGAAAGAGUUCAAAGAUUUCCGAUUAGAGCAUAUUCCUCGAUUGCAUAAUGAAGAGGCCAAUCGGUUGGCUCAGCAUGCCUCGGGAUAUCAGCCUAUGAUUAAUGCAAUAUCGGCAAUCGGUGCCGAUGAUUGGAGGAAGGAAAUUAUUGAUUAUCUAAAGGAUCCAUCCAAGAAAGUUGAAAGACGAGUUCGAUUUCAAGCAACCAAAUAUGUGCUCCUCGAAGAUGAACUGUACUAUCGAACUAUUGAUGGAAUUCUUCUCCGAUGUUUGGGUGAUGAUGAAGCUAGGAGUUUGAUGGGAGAAAUCCAUGAAGGGGUAUGUGGAGCACAUCAGUCGGCUUUCAAAAUGAAAUGGAUGAUUAGAAGGAAUGGAUAUUUUUGGCCGACUAUACUUGAGGAUUGCUUUAAGUAUUUCAAGGGAUGUCAAGGUUGUCAAAAGUUUGGUAACAUUCAAAGAGCACCCGCAUCGGCUAUGAAUCCUAUUAUCAGGCCUUGGCCGUUUCGGGGUUGGGCUAUCGAUCUGAUCGGCCAGAUUUAUCCACCAUCUAGUAAGGGGCAUAAAUUUAUUUUGGUUGCCACUGAUUAUUUCACUAAAUGGGUUGAAGCUAUUCCUUUGAAGAAGGUCACCUCGGCCAAUAUGAUUGAUUUUGUGAAGGAACACAUUAUUUACCGAUUUGGGAUUCCUCAGACAAUUACUACCGAUCAGGGCACUAUGUUCACAUCGGGGGAGUUUGAUGAAUUCGCAAUCGGUAUGGGGAUUAAAGUAUUGAAUUCUUCUCCUUAUUAUGCUCAAGCCAAUGGGCAGGCCGAAGCAUCUAACAAAGGGAUUAUCAAGCUUAUUAAACGAAAGAUUGAAGAAAAUCCUAAGCGGUGGCAUACAUUGUUAAAUGAAGCACUGUGGUCUUAUCGAAUGGCUUGUCAUGGAUCAACCUAGGUGUCACCCUAUCAAUUGGUGUAUGGACAUGAUGCAGUGUUGCCCUGGGAGAUUAAGGCCGGAUCCAGGCGAUUAUCUUUUCAAGAUUGGUUAACCGCCGAUAAUUAUGCUACUUUGAUGACCGAUGAGUUGGAUGAUCUAGCAGGGCAUCGGUUAAAAGCUGUAAUGAGUAUAGAAGAAAAUAAGAAGAGAGUUGCUAGAUGGUAUGAUAAGAAAGUGAAGGCUAAGGAGUUUGUCGAUGGGGAUUUGGUAUGGAAAUUGGUUUUGCCAGUCGGGACUAAAAGUGCGAAGUUUGGAAAGUGGUCUCCUAAUUGGGAAGGUCCUUAUCGGAUAAGUCGAUCGGCUCCUGGUAAUGCCUAUAUUCUAGAAACUCUCGAAGGAGUUGAAUUUCCUAGAGCAUUAAAUGGCAAAUAUUUAAAGAAGUACUACCCCAGCAUAUGGGUCGAUGCAUAAAAGUUUAAAUGCCGAUAACACUCCUAUCGGCUGGAUUCAAAUGUUUUGGGGCUUAGUGUUUCAAAAGAUGCCGAUAACAGUCCUAUCGGCUAGACUAAAAGCUGAGGAAUCAGGAAAGCACAGAUAUGAUGCCGAUGAAAACUUUAUGUGUUAAGCAGCGCCUGGAUUGCCGAUAUAGCACGUAGCCGGAUUUGGUUGGCUGCUUCUAUCUCCUUAAUGUCAUCAUCGGCAGAACCCUCUAUCGGCUUUAGUUUCUUCUUCAGUUGAAGUGCCUUGCGACCAUGAACGUUUCGCUCGUGCUCAAGAAGCUUGAUGGCCUCUGGCUGUUGGCUCUCUUCCUGUUGAGCUUGGGAUAAGGCGUCCUCCACUUCCUUAAGUUCUGCCAACAAGGAUUCUCUUCUUGCCGAUAGAUCGGAUAUUUUCUGCUUCAGCGCGUCUCCUGAAGAUCUCAGGAUGCCGAUGUUCUUGUGCUUCUCAUCGGUCAAAAGCUUCUCUUUCCUCAUUUCGUCGGAGAGUUGAGUCUGAGCAGCUCUAUCGGCAAGACGCCGAGAAGCUCUCUGGUACUGCAGCUGGCGACUCUCCAAAUGAGCGGCUUGGAAAAGGGUUUCUUCGACAUCGGCUGGGAUUUGGCCUCUGAGAGUUCUGAACAGGGUCUUGGUAGGGUCGGAGUCGUCAACCAACUGCGCUGUGUCCUGGUGAAGGAGAGCUGACAAUUCAUCCAGUCUGGUCCUGAUCUCUGCCGAUGUAAUGCCGAUUGUCUGAGAAGAGCUUGCCUCUUCGCCUUCUUCUUCAGAGAGAUCGAUGGUGAAGGAAAACAGGCUGUCGGGAGAAUCUUGUUCCUGGGGGGAGAGCAAAGUUAGUUCAUACUCGGAAAAUCGGCAAAUUAUGCUGGUAGAGGUUGGGUGGCUUACUUGUUUUAAGGCUAUUUCCUGCCUCUGUCUGAAAGAUGCCGAUGGAGAUGCAGGAUGAUCGGCUACGGUUGCCGAUGGGACGAUAUCGACUGAAAAAGACAGGAAGGGUUAUGAGACUAAAUGAGAAUAAGUUCAUCGGCAACGGUAUUGUUAAAGUAUGUUACCUGGAGGAGGAACAACGGUUGUCUGAAUCGGGAGAACCGCCGAUGAUAUAAUUGGACCCACCGGACCAGUUGUUUGUUCACCCACAUCAGCUGAUGUACCUUCUGUUCGAGGCUCUUCCUGCUGGGGUUCUUCCAUCUGUGGUGCUUCCUGCAUUGGUUGGGGAGAUGGUGCUUGCUGUGUCUGGACUUCUGGAGAAGAAGGAGAAAACUCCACUGGGAUUGGAGAUACCGGAGGAGGAGGGGGAGUUGCCACUUUUUGGCGUUUUGUUUCGGCCCUGGUGCUCUUGACACCCUUCCUCUUUGGCUGGCUGGACUGGGGGGCAUCGGCACCUUGACGUGUGACCUUUGCCGAUGCACUGGUUUGCUGCAAUAACGAACAAGGGUUUAUAAGUAUAAAUAAGGCCAAUAUAAAGAUAGUCAGCGUAAAAGAAAGAGAUUUGACAAAUUGCCUUGAAAGCCCGCGCCAGAGUGGGAGCAGCUACCGUUGGUGAUGUCUGGGUUCUCCUGGUGGUGACUUUCCUGAGGCGCACACCCCGAUGCACGAUGGAAGCCAGAGUGGGAGCAUUGUGGCCGGUUGAGGAAAUCGGGCCUGAUGGAAACAAGUCGAUCGGCUUGCCACUCCUGCUAACCGAUGGGGGGAUGUCGUCAACCUGCAAAAGAAAUACAAGGGUGAGCUACCGAUGGAAAUAAUGUUGAGAAAAUGAAACAUCGGUUGGAAAUACUUACAGUGUCAUCGGGAAUUUCGUAUUCGGAGUCGAUCAUGCCGCGGUAUGAAAGGGCCAAUCUGCAGAAUAGAUGCUCUUUCCAUUCUGCCCACCAUAACUUGUAUGCCUGAGUGAUAAAAGCAGCCGGAACCCAUUCUGACAGAUCUACAUCUGUAUCGGUGUUUGGUGGUAGUUGGGCUACUCGACUCCACUCAAGAAAGUUGUUGAUAGUUUCUCUGGGUUUUAUCACAUCGGCAUAAGGAAGUGCGAUUGGCAACUGGCCGAAAGCUAACUGGCGAGCUAAUGCCGAUGGAUUGUAAAAUUCAUAAGUCUGGGGAGAAGUUUUUGUGCUACCGAAGAAAUUCACUGGAAUGGCUCUGGGAGUCACAAUUGCCAUCAUCGCCUCAUUGUCCCUGUCGAGAGCUUCAUCAAAUGGAUUGAAGGUCAGAGGGAGCAUGCUAUCUGGGUCAUCAUAAGCCAACCAUGGUCGUUCAUCUCUGGCCAAACCCUCAUACAGAGUCUGGAAGAAUCGGCCGAUCUGAUCCGGAUUACUCCCUGAACCAGGUAGAACUAUGACAGCUUCGCCAAAGUUCAAGGGGGCACGCGUUGCCGAUUCCUCUUCACCCAACACAUGAUUUUCGGCUAUAUCUCUUGGGAAGUGCUGUGAGAACAAGUUGAAAUCAAGGCGCUUAUGCAGGUGCAGAUUGAGCCACAUAUUAAUAAACCACCAGGGGCCUCCCAAGUUGCCGAUGGACUGGCCAAGCAGGAGUUUCUGGGCUACCUGAUGGAGAAGAUGGUAAACAGCGCCAAGCAAGUAUCGGCCGAGAGGAAAUUGGCCACCGUUAGCCAGUCUCUCUGCUGCCGAUAGAUAGACGGAAGUCGGUCCUGCCGAUCGACCACAGAAUACAAACUUGUCCAGCCACAUGUUCAGAAAGGUGGUUUGCUCCUUUAUGGUGACAGGCCCUCUCCCGUGGUACUUCUGAAUGUACCCUGACCAACCGCCGAUAGCGCGAGUCUCCACUUUGGCACUGGGGGCAGUAUCAAAAAAGUGGGUGCUAUCGGCAGAAGAUAUAUCUAGACCAGUGAGCAUGGCUACAUCGGCAAGGGUAGGAGAAGCAGGGCCGUGGCCAAAAACAAAAGCAUUGAGGGUGUCUGACCAAAAGUAGGACGCAGCUAUCAGGAGUGACUCGUUCCUGUGCAUAUCGGCAAUAGAUAGCCUAAUGCAUUGGGCUAGCUUCCUUUCACCCCACUGGACUUCAUAAGAAUUGCUGACCCUCAAGAACCAGUCUUUCCACCCUACGGUAGGGGUGGGGAUGACAAUUUUAUUGGACAACUCCUAGUGAUUUUGGGGGAAUAAAAAAUACAAAGAAAAAGUAAAAGGAAAAUAUUCAGUAAGAUGAAUCGCAGAUGAACAGGAAUACGAAAAAAGAAAAAAAAAUACAGAAGAUGAAGUGGAGAUCUGACCUCAGGGACGACGAAGCCAAUGGCCAUCUUGUCGUGAAGAGGACGUUGGAGGGCACCGGAGUUUAUGAAGAGGAGUGCUUGUCGGAGGUCUCGAAGGUUGUGAAUGGCGCCGCCGCUGGAAAAGUAAAAGUGGGGAUGGUGAAAUGAUGUGAUGGAGAAGGAGUACCCGAGAAGGAACUAUUUAUAGGAUAAAACGGGCAAGGGCAAAUCUGACUUAUCUCUUUGCCGCAUCCGAGAGACCCGGGGAUGCUCAGGUAGAUAUGGUAACUGUUCGCACGGUAAUCAAGGGAUUGUGCAGGUGAUUUGACGGGGAGCGGUCAUUACUUGGAGAUAUUUUACUGUACAGGAUCUUCUGGUCGGUCCAUCGGCAGCAUACUGUAACGGUCAUAUUGCCGAUGGGCGGAUAAAGUAAAAGGUAGCCAGUUAUACGAACGUCCUGAUUAGUCCAUCGGUAGAUCUUCGUAACGGUAAUAUUGCCGAUGUGCGGAUGAGAAGGAAGUGCCCGUUCAGGAAGUUGAGGAUUUCGAGGAAUUUGCAGGAGAAUAGGAUCGGAGUUGUUUGGAUUGAGGUUGUCGGUUACGAGAUUAGGAGCAUUAAUUGAGGGAAAAGGCAUCAUUACUGCAGAAAAUUUCGGAGCAUUAAUAGUUUCAUACUCCGAAAUUGGGGGGCAUGUGUUGACACCGUUUUUAGGCACGUGUCUAGGAUGGCAGGAUAAGAUGACAGUAUGUGGUUUACGGGAUGAGUUGCCGAUGAGGAUGGUUGCCGAUAAAGGAGAGGUUGGACGUGACUAAGUUUACAGGUGAUAAUGUGUCUGUGCCGAUGACUAUGAUGAGGAGGUCUGCCGAUGACCAUGGCGAAAGAGUCUGCCGAUGAUACAGAGGGGGAGUCUGGAAGCUGCUGAUCGGGUUGUGGAAGAGUUUCAGUUUGUCACGAGGGAUAACUGAGUUAUUUCCUUAUUUGUUUAAAUCGUUUUGUAUGCGGAUUCCAUGUAAUUUGGAAUUCGAAUUCUGGUCGUGUUUAGUUAUAGCUCUUUAAGCAGGGUAUAAAUAUGGACCCUAGGGCUUUGUAAUGAGACAUCUAUCAAUCAAUCAAACACACGUUUUUACUCAUAUUCCAGCAUCUACUUUUCGACGACUUCGUCAUACUUUUUUCCUUUUAUUACGAGUUCUUAGGAAUUCGUCGACUUAAGCUCGGCGUGUUCUCAAGUUCCGCGUGAGUACCUCUUAGCCGUGACAUCCGGGCGCAUCGCUAUUGUCAGGACUAAAGUAUUCGAGUUAUCACCUUUGCCGAUAGUAAGGUCAAAUUGGCUGGCACGCCUUAACGUUUGAAUUGGGUAUUAGCCCUUUGUGUAUGCAGAUUAAUUUUGCACCAACAUGUUGUAAGUAUUUCAAACCGAUGUUCCAAUUUUUUUUUUAAAUCUUAUUUCCAUCGGUAACCCACUUUUGUAUCCUUUUGUAGGUUGACAACACCACCUCAUCGGUUAGCAGAAGUGGUAAGCCGAUUGACCUGUUUCCACCAGGCCCAAUCUCUUCAAUCGGCCACAAUGCUCCCACUCUGGCUACCAUUGUGCAUCGAGGUGUGCGCCUCAAGAAAGUCACCACCAGGAGAACCCAGACACCACCAACGGUAGCAGCUUCCACUCUGGCACAGGCUUUCAAGGCAAUUGUUGAACCUUUUUUAUUUAUACUGAUUACCUUUACAUCGGCUACAUUUGUGUUCAUAAAUUCCUUUUUGUUGCUGCAGCAAACCAGUGCAUCGGCAAAAGCCAAAAGCCAAGGUGCCGAUGCCCCCCAGUCCAGCCAGCCAAAGAGGAAGGGCGCCAAGGGUACCAGGGCCGGAACAAAGCGCCAGAAAGUGGCAACUCCUCCUCCUCCUCCUCCUCCGGCAUCUCCUAUUCCGGUGGAAUCUUCUCCUUCCCCUCCAGAUGUAGAGAUCCAGCAAGCACCAUCUCCCCCACAUCCACAGGAAGCACCAGAAGUAGACGAACCCCAGCAGGAAGAACCCCAAGCAGAAGGUACAUCAGCUGACGUAGGUGAGCAAACAACUGGCCCGGCAGGUUCAAUCACGUCAUCGGCAGUUCCCCCAAUUCAGACAAGCAUCGUCCCUCCUCAGGGUAACAUAUUUUUAUAAUAUUGCCACCGAUGAACUUAUUCUCAUUCAGCCUCAUAACUCUUUCUGUCCCCUUUCAGUCAAUGUCGUUCCAUCGGCAACCCUAGCCGAUCAACGUAGGGCUCCACCAGCAUCUUCCAGUCAAAGGCAAGAAAUAGCCUUGAAGCAAGUAAGUCACCCAAUCUUCAUCAGUAUUAUUUGCCGAUUCUUCGAGUAUGAACUAACUUACUUUGUUUUCCUUCCCAGGAACAAGAUUCUCCCGACAGCCUAUUCUCCUUCGCCAUCGACAUCUCUGAAGAAGAAGGUGAAGAAGCAAGUUCUUCCAAGACAGUUGGCAUCACAUUGGCAGAGAUCAGGGCCAAGCUGGAAGAACUAUCGGCCCUCCUUCAUCAGGACACAGCACAACUAGUCGACGACUCCGACCCAGCCAAGGUUCUGUUCAGGACUCUCAGAGGCCAGAUCCCAGCCGAUGUCGAAGAAAUCCUCUUCCAAGCCGCACAUUUGGAGAGUCGUCAGCUGCAGUACCAGAGGGCUUCUCGGCGCCUUGCCGAUAGAGCUGCUCAGACUCAGCUCUCUGAAGAGAUGAGGAAAGAGAAGCUCCUGACCGAUGAGAAGCACAAGAACAUCGGCAUUUUGAGAUCUUCAGGAGACAUACUGAAGCAGAAGAUAUCUGACCUAUCGGCAAAAAGGGAAUCCCUAUUGGCAGAACUCAAACAAGUGGAGGACGCUUUAUCCCAAGCCCAAUAGGAAGAGAGCCAACUGCCAGAGACCAUCAAGCUCCUUGAGCAAGAGCGAAACGUUCAUGGUCGCAAGGCACUACAAUUGAAGAAGAAGCUAAAGCCGAUAGAAGGUUCCGCCGAUGACGAUAUCAAAGAGAUAGAAGCAGCCAACCAAAUCCGGCUACGCGCCAUAUCGGCGAUCCAGGCACUGCUGGACACAUGAAGCUCUCAUCGGCGACAUACCUCUCUUUUCCUGCUCUUUCAACUUUUAGUCUAGCCGAUAGGACUGUUAUUGGCAUCUUUUGAAACAUUAAUUCCUGCCCCAAACAUUUAAAUCCAGCAGAUAGGAGUGUUAUCGGCACUUAAACUUUUAUGCAUCGACCCAUAUGCUGGGGUAGUACUUCUUUAAAUAUUUUCCAUUUAAUGCUCUGGGAAAUUCAACUCCUUCGAGAGUUUCUAGAAUAUAGGCAUUACCAGGAGCCGAUCGACUUAUCCGAUAAGGACCUUCCCAAUUAGGAGACCACUUUCCAAACUUCGAACUUUUAGUUCCGAUCGGUAAAAUUAAUUUCCAUACCAAGUCCCUAUCGGCAAACUCCUUAGCCUUUACUUUCUUGUCAUACCAUCUAGCAACUCUCUUCUUAUUUUCUUCUAUACUCAUUAAAGCCUUUAACCGAUGUCCUGCUAGAUCAUCUAACUCAUCGGUCAUCAAAGUGGUAUAAUCAUCGGCAGCCAAUUGAUCUUGAAAAGAUAAUCGCCUAGAUCCAACCUUAAUUUCCCAAGGUAACACUGCAUCAUGUCCAUACACCAAUUGAUAGGGUGACACCUUGGUUGAUCCAUGACAAGCCAUCCGAUAGGACCACAACGCCUCAUUUAAUAAUGUAUGCCACCGCUUAGGAUUUUCUUCAAUCUUUCGUUUGAUAAGCUUGAUAAUUCCUUUGUUAGACGCCUCAGCCUGCCCAUUGGCUUGAGCAUAAUAAGGAGAAGAAUUCAACACUUUAAUCCGCAUACCGAUUGCAAAUUCAUCAAACUCCCCCGAUGUAAACAUAGUGCCCUGAUCGGUAGUAAUUGUUUGAGGAAUCCCAAAUCGGUAAAUGAUAUGCUCCUUCACAAAAUCAAUCAUAUUGGCCGAUGUGACUUUCUUCAAAGGAAUAGCUUCGACCCACUUAGUGAAAUAAUCAGUGGCAACUAGAAUAAACUUAUGCCCUUUGCUAGAUGGUGGAUAAAUCUGGCCGAUCAGAUCAAUAGCCCAUCCUCGGAACGGCCAAGGCUUUAUGACAGGAUUCAUAGCCGAUGCAGGUGCCCUUUGAAUAUUACCAAACUUCUGACACCCUUGACACCCUUUGAAAUACUUAAAGCAAUCCUCAAGUAUAGUCGGCCAAUAAUAUCCAUUCCUCCUAAUCAUCCACUUCAUCUUAAAAGCCGACUGAUGUGCUCCACACACCCCUUCAUGAAUUUCUCCCAUCAAACUCCUAGCCUCAUCAUCACCUAAACAUCGGAGAAGAAUUCCAUCAAUAGUUCGAUAGUAUAAUUCAUCUUCGAGGAGCACAUACUUGGUCGCUUGAAAUCAAACUUGUCUUUCAACUUUCUUAGAUGGAUCUUUCAAAUAAUCAAUAAUUUCUUUCCUCCAAUCAUCGGCAUCGAUUGCCGAUACUGUAUUAAUCAUAGGCUGAUACCCUGAGGCAUGCUGAGCUAACCGAUUGGCCUCUUCAUUAUGCAAUCGGGGAACAUGCUCUAAACGGAAAUCUUUGAAUUCCUUUAACAGUUGCAUGCUCUUCUCGUAAUAAGUUACAAGAACUUCACUUCGGCAUUCAUAGCUCCCGGCCAACUGAUUUAUAACCAACAUAGAAUCCCCGAAGACUUCGACAGCGUCAGCAUGAACUUCCCUUAACAAUUCCAAUCCUUUUAUCAAAGCCUGAUACUCAGCCUGAUUGUUUGUUGACGUAGCAACUAUCGGCAAGGAAAAUUCAUACUUCCUCCCCUUAGGGGAAACUAAUACUAUGCCGAUUCCUGCCCCCCGGUCACAUGUAGAUCCAUCAAAGAAAAGCGUCCAGGGCAUAAUUUCCAAAGCCUCCACUACACCGCAAUGUUGAGUCACAAAAUCGGCCAUAAUCUGCCCUUUAACUGCCUUAGCCGAUUCAUAACGCAGAUCGAAUUCCGACAGCGCCAAAAUCCAUUUACUGAUCCUGCCACUCAUAAUCGGCAUAGAUAGCAUGUACCGGACCACAUCAUCUUUGCAAACAACAGUGCAUUCGGCCGAUAACAAGUAGUGCCUUAACUUGAUACACGAAAAAUAUAAGCAUAGGCAUAGUUUCUCAAUGGCCGAAUACCUGGUCUCAGCAUCAAUCAACCUCCUGCUUAAGUAAUAAAUUACACGCUCUUUCCCUUCAAAUUCCUGAAUCAAAGCUGAACCGAUAACCAUCCCAUCGGUAGACAAAUACAAUCUGAAGGGUUUUCCUUGCUGAGGUGGAAUUAGAACUGGAGGAUUCACUAGAUACUUCUUGAUUUCAUCCAGAGCCAACUGCUGUUCUUUCCCCCAAAUAAAUUCUUGAUCGGCUUUUAGCUUAAGAAGAGGACUGAAAGCACGAAUUUUACCAGACAAAUUAGAUAUAAAUCUCCUGAUAAAAUUUACCUUGCCGAUCAAGGACUGGAGCUCAGUCUUGUUGGUAGGGGCUAUUAUUUUAUUGAUGGCAUCAAUAGAUCUUCGACUAAUUUCAAUUCCCCUUUGAUGCACCAUGAAACCGAGAAACUGCCCUGCCGAUACACCAAAUGCAUACUUAUUGGGAUUCAUCUUCAACCCAUGCUUCCUUGUGCACUCCAAUACCUUUCGUAGAUCGGCAAGAUGCUUUGCAAAGUCCCCGGACUUGACCACCACAUCAUCAAUAUAAAUUUCUACCAGUUUGCCAAUGAACUCAUGAAAUAUAAAAUUCAUGGGCCUUUGAUAAGUAGCACCAGCAUUCUUAAGGCCAAAAGUCAUAACUAUCCACUCGAACAAUCCAACAUGACCAGGGCAUCUGAACGCAGUCUUCAGAAUGUCUUCUUCAGCCAUGAAUAUUUGAUUGUACCCUGCAUUACCAUCCAUAAAGCUAAUAAUCCGAUGCCCAGCUGCAGCGUCAACCAACAGAUCGGCAACUGGCAUUGGGUAUCCAUCCAUCGGUGUAGCUUUGUUAAGGUUCCUGAAAUCAAUACAGACCCGAAGUUUCCCGUUCUUCUUGUAGACCGGAACAACAUUGGAAAUCCAUUCGGCAUACCGACACUGCCAAAUAAAUUUAGCUUCAAUAAGUUUGGUUAUUUCGGCUUUGAUGUCAGGAAGAAUAUUAGGAUUACAUCGGCGAGCUGGCUGCUGAUGUGGCCGAAAUCCAGACUUGAUAGGCAACCGAUGUUCAACAAUUGAUCGGUCUAAACCAGGCAUCUCAGUAUAAUCCCAAGCAAAGCAAUCUUUAUAUUCCUUCAACAAAUUGGUCAAUUGCUGCUUACAUUUAGGAUUUAACUUAGCACUAAUAAAAGUAGGUCUAGACUUAUCACCACUACCGAUAUCUACUUCUACCAAAUCAUCGGCCAAUGUGAAUCCCUGGCCUAACUUUCCAUCAUCGGCGAACCUAUCCAUUAAAAACCGUCGUCAGAACCGACUGCUUGGAUCGGUGGAAUCUCGUAAUCGGCAACCUUGAGAAAAUCUUUCUCCCAAACUUCUCCUGAAAUGCACCUAGUCCUCUCAUAGGUGUCUGCCUCUGCCGACGCAAUGACAUAAGAAGAAUCUCCCGGGACAAUCUCAAUUUUGUCACCUACCCACUGAACCAAACAUUGGUGCAUUGUAGAUGUGAUGCAACAAUUGGCAUGAAUCCAAUCUCUUCCCAACAGUAAGUUGUAAGCACCCUUUCCACUGAUCACAAAGAAUGUCGUCGGCAAGGUUUUGCUGCCGAUGGUCAACUCUACACAUAUUGCCCCCUUGACCGGAGACAUAUUUCCUUCAAAGUCUUUGAGCAUCAUAUCGGUCUUGGUUAAAUCUUGAUCUCCUUUUCCAAGCUUCCGAUACACCGUAUAUGGCAUGAUAUUGAUAGCAGCUCCUCCAUCAAUUAAGAUCUUAGUCAUCGGCUGCCCAUCAACCCUUCCUUUGACAAACAGGGCCUUGAGAUGCUGUCUUUCAUCAUCGGCAGGCUUCUCAAAGAUAGCCGUCAUCGGAUCUAGAGCCAACUGAGCUAUUUGAUCGGAAAAUUCCACCUCAUCAUCAUCGGAUGGCGCAAGGAAUUCCAUCGGCAACAUAAAGACCAUGUUGACAUCUGCCGAUGGACCUUCCCCCUUAGGAUCUGGUUGUUGCCGAUCCUCAGGUUUUCCAGAGCUCUCGCCCUUGCUUAGCCCUUCUUGCCUUUCACGCUGCAAUCUCCUCUUCUGUGUCUUGGUCAACCCUUCCGGACACCAUGGAGGAAGUGGCUUCUGCCUUGCUGCUGGGCGUCGAUUCUCCCUCGACUCCAUCCGAAGCGUAUUAGCAUCCCUGCAAAAUAUGAACUCAUCGGGAACUCGUGCAUUAGCCAUCUCCUCGAGCUCUUCCUUGUUCCUGGGAAAAUAUUGGACACGAUCACCAAGCCUAUCGUGCACACUGAGCCUGCCCCCCAGCCGAUCAUGAACUGAUGCUCUUCCUCUGAUCGGCCCAUUAAAUCGCCGAUUGUCAUCAUGAUAACGCCGAUCGGUCCUAUCAUACCGAUCAUAACCAUUGCACUCAGGACAGUCCCUGACAGUAGGAAGCUUAAUAUUCUCCUCCCAACAAUGGAUGAAGAACGGACAGUUCCAGUGAUCUCUAUGCCGAUUCCACUCCUGUCGGCGUCUUUCUUCUUCCCGACGAUAAUCUUCUUGCUGACGCCGAUAUCGAUCUUCCCGUUGCUGCCAGUUAUCUCGAGGCCUUCUAUGAGUUAUAACGAUGCCAGACUGAGGGGGCCUACCUGAGCUGGUUCCUUCCUGAACCAAGCCCCUACCUCUUGCAUCGGCAGUAGUAACUUGAUGCUGAGGAUCUACCGAUGCACUUCUCUCGGCUGCUUCUGAUGUUAAGACCUUGGCCUUUCCCUUGGCAUCCAACAUGUUUGUCGGGAAAGGAUGUUGGUCUAUCUUCAUCGGCUUCUGGGUCUUGGAACUGUCAAACUUGAUUCUCCCAGUCUCUAUAGCCGAUUGCAGCUGCUGUCUGAAAACCUUGCACUCAUUGGUGUCAUGAGAAGUUGCAUUAUGCCACUUGCAAUAUUUCAUCCUCUUUAACUCCUCAGCCGAUGGGAUCACGUGAUUAGGAGACAGCUUGAUCUGACCUUCCUGAAGUAAAAAAUCAAAUAUCCUAUCGGCCUUAGCGGGGUCAAAAGCGAACUUCUCUGGUUCCUUCUACCCAAAAGGACAAGACAUCGGCUUCUUGUUCUUUACCCACUCUGCCAAGCCGAUGACUAGUUCCUCAUCAGAAUCUGAGCUUGUUGCCUCAUCAACAAAUGACACCUUCUUGUUCCAUGCUCUUUUGGGCUCGAAAGGCUUGAUGUCUUGAUCAGAAAUCCUCUGCACCAAAUGACUUAAGCUUUCAAACUCCUGAGAGGCAUACUUAUCCCUGAUGUGUGGCAAUAAACCCUGGAAAGCCAAAUCGGCUAGCUGCCGAUCAUCCAGAACCAGACUAUAGCAUUUAUUCUUGACUUCCCGUAUCCUCUGCAUAAAGCCUUCAACCGACUCAUCAUUGCGUUGCCUCAAUUUGACCAAAUCGGUGAUCUUCUUCUCAUGAACCCCAGAAAAGAAGUAUUUGUGGAAUUGUUUCUCCAGAUCGGCCCAAGUAAUCACCGAGUUGGGAGGUAGUGAUAUGAACCAGGUAAAGGCCGAUCUAGACAACGAUGAUGAAAAUAAACGAACCCUUAAUUCGUCCCUAUUACCAGCUUCUCCGCAUUGAAUGUUGAACCUAUUGACAUGCUCCAUGGUUGACGUGUCGUCUUGCCCAGAAAACUUAGUAAAGUCCGGUACCUUGUACCGAUGCGGAAGCGGGAUCAAAUCAUAUGCGAGAGGAUACGGUGUUCGAAAAGAGUAAGUGUUGACUUUGGGUUUUAUCCCAAAUUGAUCCCUCAUUACUUCAGCGAUCUUAUCGGCCCAAUACGCAUCGGCAUCUUGCCGAUGGGGUGGUUGUGGAUCUGGCAUCUGCUGGUAAGCCUCCACGUGUCUGUUUGGUGCAUGAUCUGCAUGGAACAUUGGGUUGAUUAUAUGGCCUCCUACCUGUGGACCACCAAGCUGUUGCCCGCCAAUCUGCUGUCCACCGACUUGCUGCCCGAGAUUCAUUGGCUGAUUAGGGAAUCCCAGAUUCUGGAAUCCGAGAUAGAUCUAUCCUUGCUGGAACCCUGUAGCCUGGUGACUCUGUUGGGGCAUUUGUGGAAAGACUUGCUGCCCAAGCCAUCCAUUAUUAGCGUUCAUCGGCACAGGCCCUGCCGAUGACUGGUAGUUGGGCAUCAUCAUUGAAUUGACAUACCCUGAUUGAGCCAUAGACCCCUGUUGUAUCAGCAUUGACUCUGCCGAUGCGUUAGGCAUCUGGAACAUUGGAGCUUGAGAAUUCCCAGUGUAAGGUCUUGCAGUAGUAGUUGUAGUAUACUGGGGACUCUGGUUCAUCGGCAUAUUGGGAGGCGUUGAUGCCAUAGGAGUCUUGCCUCUCACAUCAGUCGUCUGCGACGUACCCGGCGUUAACUCUGGAGGCAUACCAUAACCCCACCAGUUAGGAGGAGGAGUUAAUCCUAACAUUGCCGAUGCCAACAGAUCUGUGGCGAGUUUAAUUUGCCCAUCUGAAGUCGGAGGAUUGGUUGUCAUCGGCGUAGUAUUCCUGACUCCCAACGUACUCGGAGGAACGGUGGUUUGUGAACCCACAGCGGCCGUAGCAGCCGAUGGAGCUGUGACCACCGGUGACUUCGGUUGGUGAUAAGUGGGGCCCACAUGAUAAGUGGGGCCCACAUAAUCCAGUGGCAACUGUCCUUCCUUGAAAGUUCUUGCCACGGCAUUGAAAACCGUGUUAGACAGCACACCAGCUUGAUUGAUCAGAGCACGAUUGAUAGCGCUGUCAACCAUCUCUUGAAGUUUGCCAGGAUUGGCUUCAAAAGUAACCUGCCGUGGUGCCGGCAGUGCAUCCUUCUGGAUCACUUUGCCGCUCCUGUUUAUGCUGAAGGACCUCAGGCAUUGCUGCUUGUAAUCCUCCAUGGCUUUAGCGAUAGCUUGCUUCUGCUCAUCCUUGAGAUUGGCUUUCGUCACGGGGAUGACGUUCUCUUGAUCAAACUCAGAAGUCGACAUGUUGAUCUUGGUCUUGAAUCUGUCCCACCGGGCGUGCCAAAAGAUGUGUUGAUGCAAAAGCUGGUCUGCAAACACAAAGGGCUAAUACCCGAUUCAAACGUUAAGGCGUGCGAGCCGAUUUGACCUUACUAUCGGCAAAGGUGAUAACUCGAAUACUUUAGUCCUGACAACAGCGAUGCGCCCGGAUGUCACGGCUAAGAGGUACUCACGCGGAACUCGAGAACACGCCGAGCUUAAGUCGACGAAUUCCUAAGAACUCAUAAUAAAAGGGGAAAAGUAUGACGAAGUCGUCGAAAAAGUAGAUGCUGGAAUAUGAGUAAAAACGUGUGUUUGAUUGAUUGAUAGACGUCUCAUUACAAGGCCUUAGGGUCUACAUUUAUACCCUGCUCAAAGAGCUACAACCAGACACGAUUAGAAUUCGAAUUCCAAAUUACACAGAAUCUGUAUACAAAACGAUUUAAAUAACUAAGGAAAACAUAAAGCUAUCCCUCGUGACAAGCUGGAACUCCUCCACAAACCGAUCGGCAGCUUCCGGACUUUCCCUCCGUAUCAUCGGCAGAUUCCCUUGUCAUAGUCAUCGGCAGACUUCCUUGUCAUAGCCAUCGGCACAGACACAUCACCACCUAUAGACUUAGUCAUGCUCAACCCCUCCUUCAUCGGCAACCAUCCUCAUCGGCAGCUCAUCCUGUAGACAAAACACCGCCGUCUCACUCUAUCGGCCUGCACUCUACCAAACAUGGACACGUGCCCAAAAACGGUGUCAACAGGAUUGCAUUGGGAUAGAAGGUUGAGGCUUGAAUCUUGCAUUUUUUAUGGACAUCACCAUAUGUGUUGGAAUGACAUUACUUGAAUUGCUCUUGAGAUACCACAUAGGAUCUUUGACCUUGAUACCAUUUGGUGGGACACUCCCCCUAUGUCAUAGCAUUGGUCAUUCACUUGUCAAUCUUGUUGGUGAGGGAACUUUUCUUUGCUUGAUGAUCACUUAAAGUUGAGGAUCACUUGUGGAACCACCGUCUUGUAUGAUACAUACUGUAUGUAUAAAUGUGAUAUUUGAAAUAUCUUGUCCGAUAUCAUAUGGGAUUCUUUUAUCAAUUAAGGUCAUCUAGUAUGGAACCACUUGUUUGCUAUCUUGAACAUUUGCUAUCAUCAUCAUGAGUACCAAUUGUAGGAUAUUACUUGAAGAAACAUUUGAGUCUAGAUAUCCAUUUGCAUUGUUGUCUUGUUCUUGUACUCUAAUCACCAUGAGCUUCUAAUAGUUGACUUGAACUAAGUUGAUUUGCUAAAGCUUCCAAGUCCGAUUUGAACCAAUGACAAGCUUUUGGACACCUCACAUUAAGGGUUAUCUUGCCAAUGUUGUACUUGUCACUUGUUAACAAUCCAAAAUAGAUCAAGUACUUUGGUUCACUAGCUCAUGAACAAACUCAUAUACAUACCACUAGAUCAACUAAUCAUUCAAGCAGUAGUGGUAGGCUAUGAAUUGAAAACUUUUCAUUUGUCAUGCAUGAUCCUAUUAAGCAUGUACUAUAUGCACUAACUGCAUACUAGUAAGGGAUGAUACCUUUGCUAUCUUGGAGUAGAGGAUAGUCACAUAGAUUCCAAUUCAUUUCUCCAAUAGCAAUGUGAAGUCCAAUUGAUAAGCUUGGUGAAGACCAAUCAUAGAUACCAAUUGAUAGAUCAAAUCUUCACCCAUAUGAAUUUAGAACCACUUAUUAUCAAGUGCAUUGUCUUGUUGUGGUUGGCUUGCUUCAUCUUUUCUUCAUCAUUGCUUGCAUGAGAGAACUAAUAAGAAUACCACUUGAACAUCAUGACUAGCUCUCUUUGGGUGUUGCUUGCUUUCUUGAUCAAUCCUUUUGAUUGCUUCAACUAAGUAUCACAAAUGUCCUUUAGAUCACCACUUCCAUGUUAGCCUUCCAAGCACCACACUUGGUUUACCCACUCCUCGGGCGGCACGCCCCUCUCAUAGGGAGAAGUGACCUCUCUCUAAAGAAUGAUUCUUGACACUCACUUGAAUUGCCUUUGAUUGAUUGAUUCAAGUGAUGGACUUCAUAUGAUGAAUAUCCGUGGACCCUUCUUUAAGUCCUUUUGUUUCUACUUGUUUAUGUUCUUUUUCUUUCUAAAUAAUCUCCAAUAGUCAGUAGAACUUAAACUUCAUCUUCAUCUUGAGUUUGAUCUUGAUCUUCAAUUUGAGUACUAAAUGUGUACACCAAGUACAUUCCACAAUCAAAUGACCUUGUACUCGUUACUUGUCAUGCUUCUACAUCAAUUCAAAAACCAAAUUUAGGUGCCUCAAACACUUAUGAUCAUGUUUCCAACUUGAGCAUCUUUCAAUUGAAGUGACUCUAGAUCAAUCCAAUAAUUGUCACUUUUCUGGCAGAUUCUGUACUCUCUAAAGAAAUAUCCAUAUCUCACAAUGUAUAGAUCCAAAUACCACGAAAAUUGGUGGAGAUGUGAUUCACUAAGUCAUCUAGCAGCUGUAAAAAUUUGAGCUUCAUUUCAAUUCUAUAUUGCUUCCAGAUUCCAAUUCUUCCACCACUGCUACAUGCUGAAAUCUGCUGCACUAUAGCUGAUAAGAUCCACUCCAAAACCGAAGUGUCCCUUAUACAAUUCUCGUGAAAUUUCUACAGCAUCUUCUAUGAUAAGUGUACAGCAUUCAUACCAAAUUUCAAGCCAUUCCAAAUAGAUUUGAUCACUCAAACGCAGACUUGAUCUCAGCUAGCUCAGAUUCUCAAUGUUGGACAGAUUUCAAGCAAUUGAGCUAUACUUCUCCAAAUUGAAUCAAACUUGAAAUAGACUCAUUUGAAUACUUUCACAAGACAUAAAUCCAUUCAAUCCACUUACUAAGUGUCAUCUUAUGAACUUAUUCAACUCAAAUCAAUCCAAACUUGAUUACUAAGCAUUUAUCCAUUCAAACAAUUUAUAGCAAGCAACAUUGCAUAUAUAUCCAAUUCAAUCAACUCAUAUGCACCCAAAUAAAUGUGAUCAACAAAUAUAUACCUUGGUUAUCUCAUGAUCAUCUAAUUUGCAAGCUUCAACUCAUGUAUUUGCAAGCCAUCAAAUGAUCCAAUAAAUCACCACAACUUGAAUGUGACACUUGUAUGUUGUAGCACAUUUGGACUUCGCUAUCUUGUCAUGGCAUUGGGUUUGGAUGUGCACUAGGCUUCAAUACUUGACUCAAUCAUAUGAUGAACGAUUAUAGGAUUAAUUGAAUCAAGUCUCCAAUGCCGAUGGUACCUACACACAAUCAUCCACUUUUUGAUGGUACCCAAACUAGUUUGGAUCCUCUCAAGUUAGGAGCAACAUACUUAGGCGAUGCCUUAGUAUGAGUAGCGGGAUGUUUUGCAAUAGCAACCAUAGAGGUAACAUUACCAUCCUUUCUAAGCAUAGUAAAACCAUCAAUUGAAAUAGGCUUAGAAUUAUUACUUAGGGGACAUGAAUAAGCCAUGUGUCCCCUUUCCCGGUAUAAGUAGCAACUUCUCUUUGAUUGAGCCUUUUCUUCCUUGCUCAUGUGUUGCUUCUCAUUGCCUUGCCUCUUGAGAGUUGCUUGAGCCUUCUUCUCAAGCUUGGUAGGACACCUCGAGGCAAAGUGUCCCUCAUUCUUGCACUCAAAACACAUGAUGUGAGCAUAAGCCUUCUUCUUGUCUUGAUUCUUGCUCAUCAUCUUGGCAUCUUGGAUUUGCAUUGGAUGCCUUGCUCUUCCACCCCUUCUUGUUUUCUUCUUCUUCUUCAUCAAGUCACCGUGAUGGUUGAAUUUGACUUGAGCUUGGGGCUUCUUUUCUUGCUCAACUUGUGGCUUAGGUUGAGGCUCUUCUUGUUGCUUCACCAAUUGCUUGGUUGGGCACAUUGAGGUGAGAUGACCCCAAGUGCGGCACUUGAAGCACUUGACAUGCUUGAGCCUCUCUUCUUCUUUCAUCUUCUUGAGCUUCUCUUUGUUUGGGCAACCAUUAGCAAGAUGUCCCACUUCAUGGCACCGAUAGCACAUGAAAUGAGAAAGAUUCCUCUUUUCUUGCUUUCUUUUUCCCUUUGUCAUCUUCUUCUUGAAGCCAAGGCCACACUUGUCACCAUAGUUUCUUUGAGUCUUCAAUAUAUGCUCAAAGGUGACUUUUGAGUAGUAACACCUCUCUAACUUGUUGCUCAAAUUCUUCACUUCAUUUUUGAGCUCAUUGUUCUCCUUCGAAAGGUUAGUCUCACAAGACAUAGAAGUAGAACAAAUGUGUCUAAUUGUGAAGAACAUGGCGUAGAUAAUAAAUCAUCACAAGAGGUGGAUACAUGCUUCUUGCCUACAUCACAAGGGUUAGUAACGAUAUGUGAUUGAUCAUUUGAUCCAAGUGAUGAGCUAUCACUAGUUUUAAUUUCUUCAUUAGAAAUCUUCUUAGUGAGGAAAGCACGAUCUUUUACCAAGUUAUCAUGAGUAACACAAAGUUCCUCAUGAACCAAUUUUAGCUCCUCAUGUGAACAAGUAGUAACAUAAAGUAGAUGCUUUUGUUGUUCACAUGUGGUCUUUAGAAAUGAGUUUUCAUUUUUCAAUUUAUUUUUUUUGCUUGCUCAUUUCAUAAAGCUUUUGAGAGUUUGCAUACAAGCUCAAAAUUUGGACCAUCACAAUCAAUAAUCACAUCACCAAUAGAUACCUUAGUGUCACCAUGUGACAUGAAGCAAUGUGGUGAUGUAGUAGAUGAGCUUGUGGAAGCAUCACUCUUAUAGCCAUCAUCUUCAUCAUCAAGUGUGCAUGAGGUAGCAUCAUUGGUUGCAUCACUUGUGGCAUCAUCAUUGUCCUUGUCAAGUGAUCUUGUGGUAGCAUCAUCAUCACAAUCACUUGACCAUGAGGAGGACCAAUCCUCCACAAUCACCAUGUUGUGGUCAUGCUCAAUAUCCUCAUUUGCAUCCACUUUUGACAUAUCAUAUUCUUUGGAUAUUGCCCCAUAUUUCUCAUUGAGAAAUACCCAAAUCUCAUGGGCGGACUUCAUAUCCAUGAUCUCACCAAAUAUAUUAUCUUUCAUAGAUGAGUAGAAGAUGUUAGUAGCUUGGCAAUCAAGAUGUGGGCAUUUCUUUUGCGCUUGAGUUGCAACCUUUUUAUCAAUUGCACAAGAAAAGCCCAUAUCUAUGAUCCACCACAUUUGAGGUGAAAUAAACUUAAAAUUGCAUUGCAUCCAAUUUCUCUAUCGUGCAAAGUAUGUGCCAUCAAAAAUGUGUGGACACUCAACAUCUAGCCCAUAAGCCGCCAUCUUCUCGGGUCGGUGAAGACCACAAAUGAGAGACCUAGCUUUGAUACCACUUGAAGGGUCGAGAUGGUGGACUAGAGGGGGGGUGAAUAGUCCUUUCUAAAACUUAUCGCGCCGGCUAACCGAAAAAAAUGUGGAAUUAAAACUAUCGGUCUAGCCAAGACUACACCCCUCUAUCUAAGUUCUCUAGCACCUUGAAAAGAUCCUAAACAAGCAAGCAAGGUGCUACCUUAGCAAGAGCUCACCUAACCAAAUCUAGAAGCAAGGUCACACAAACCUAUGCAACUAGUACUUUGCAAACCGGGGGAGCUCCUACACAAACUAGUGAGGCAAAGCACACAAAGCCUAAGCUCACUAGCAAGCUCAAUAACAAGGCAACUAAUGCCGAAUUAGAGAGCGCAACUUACUUAGCUACACAAACUAAGCAAUGUGACUAACAAGGUUACACAAACCAAAUUAGUCACGCAAGGAAACUACUUCUAGCUACACAAGCAAGAAGGUAACUAGCAAGCUACACAAGCUAACUAAUUACAAGAGCAACUACACAAGCACAAGUAUAUGAAUGUAACAACAAGCUUGUGUUAGGGACUUGCAAACCAACGGGAAGAACAAUGUUGACACGAUGAUUUUCUCUUGAGGUUCACUUGGUUGCCACCAAGCUACGUUCCCGUUGAGACAAGCUCCAAGGUUGCCGCCGGUCCUCUUGCUAGUGGUGACCCGCAAGUCACACUCUCCCACAUGGAGUGCUUACCACAAGCUCUAGCACUUGACCCGGCUGGACCACUUGUCGCUCUUCACGUCUUGCUCAACUAGAGUUGCUCUUCGCGAUCCCCGCGGGGUGAGCACCGUACCCCUCACAAUCUCUUCUCCAGAGCACCGCACAAUCUCUUUGCAUGCUUCGACGGAGUCACAAGCCACCAAGCCGUCUAGGAGGUGGCAACCUCCAAGAGUAACAAGCACCACCGGCUUGCAACACGAACACCUAGUGCCACUCGAUGCAAUCUCUCAAAGCAACGAACUAGAAUCGCUCACUCACACAAUCGGAUGAUCACUAUCAAACAUAUGUGAGUUAGAGGCUUUACUAGCACUCCCCAAGCAUGGACACUAAGUCCCAAGGGUGCUCGACGCCAGCCAAGGCCAGCCACCACUUCUAUUUAUAGCCCCAAGGGCUAAACUAGCCGUUGUCCCUUCAGUGGGCAAAAGACGUGAGAACCGGACUCACUGUAGGUAGCACCGGGCGCUUGAACAGUGCGUCCGGUGCUAUAGAAACAGCCACGUGUCACUAGCCGUUUGAACUCGACCGUUGCCGCCAACGGCUAGCACACGCACGCGCAUCUGGAACAGUAGCACCGGACGCGUCCUGUGCGCACCGGACACAUACGCAGAGAGCAACACAAACUUGUAGCAGCACCGGACUCUCAGCGUCCUGUGACACCGAACUCGUCCUGUGCGCACCGGACUCUCAGCGUCCUGUGCCUGCAGUUCAACUUGUUAGGUUGCUAACUUCUAGCUCCGAACUUCGAAUUCGAUGAUCUUGGACAUUUUGGAAAGCUUACUUAGAGUGCUAUCCAAUCUAUAUGAAUACUCAAUACAAAUCAAAAUGGAUCAAAGCAGUAUUCCAAUCUAAAAGCCAUCCUAAUGUCCAGAGAACAUUGAAAGACUUCUCUCUCUUCUCUAAGUUGAACAAAAUUAACUCCAACACCUUCUCCUUUGCUAAAGUGCCAACACCACCAAGUGUACACCACCAUGUGCAAGUAUGUUAGCAUUUUCACAAAUAUUUCCCCGAAGGAGUUAGCCUCUCAACUUGCCACGCCACUCGAUCCUAACACGUAUGCUAAGUUAGAUCGCUCAAGUGGCACUAGAUGACCGAUAUGCAAACAAGUUUGCCCCUCUUGAUAGUAUGGCCAUCUAUCUUAAAUCCGGUCAUAAACUUCUCUACACACCUAUGACCGGUGAAAUGGAAAUGCCCUAGGUUAUACCUUUGCCUUGCGCUUUCCAUUCCAUCUCCUCUAAUGUUGAUGCAACACAUUCACCAAUCAAUCACCAAAUGAUAUGAUCCACUUCAUAUCAUCACGUGACCAUAUUGGUUCAUCGAUCUUGACCUCACUUGCUCUUCACUGUUGUCUCGGUCCAUCGGCGCCAAGUCUUGCUCAAGCUUCAUCGUCACACGCGGUCCCUCGCUUCAAAGCCUCUGACUUGGCCUUCACUCUUGCAACCGGUCCAUCAAGCCAAGCCUCAUCUUGAUCUUCUCCACCUUGGUCACAUGACUCCAUGUCAUGUCUCAUAUGCAAUGAGCUCCUUCAUCACAUCAUCACCUGUGGACUAAUCUCCUAUGUAUCUCACAUAAACACUAUUAGUCCACCUAAGUUGUCACUCAAUUACCAAAACCAAACAAGGACCUUUCACCCAGGUAUGCCAAGCAUCCAGUGCUCCAUUAAUGGAUACAACUUCCAGAAGACGCUUUGCGACACUGGGUCGGGCGUCAACAUAAUGGCCUCAAUCACCUAUCAGCUCCUCUUCGGAAACAUGGCCAUAAAACUGACGUACAUUCAGCUCCAGAUGGUAGAUCAAACAUUCGAAAAGGUUGAAGGUAUAGUAACUGAUGUCUCUGUCAAAAUAGAUGAUCACUUUGUCCAUACAGAUUUUAGGUUAUUGACAUAGGAGAAGACGAGUACGAUCCACCCAUCAUCCUUGGGAGACCGUUCGUCAGCACCGUUAAAGCAAUCAUCUACAUUGGAAUCAGAGAAGUCCACAUGCACUUCCCCUCUGAGAAGGUAUGCCGCUAUUUUACUGACCCUAACUAUAUAGUUGAAGACUCUAAGCAGGUCAGGACAAGAAGAAGAUGACGCAACUGCAACCAGAGGAGGCAAAUCAUCAAGGACGGAUGGGCAGACUACGAAGGAGAAGUGGUAAGGUCUGAAGACAUACAACUUGAACAGAACUGUCCUGAGGAGACCAUAGCACUGAGUCAGGUGUGGAGAGAGAAGAUAAUUAUACAUGAAGAGGUGGCACCACCGGAACCACCAACUAUGCCAUCCAGCGAAUCCCACGACGACUGAAAAAACAACAGAGAGUCCUGUUCGGAGGACUUAAAAUGCCGAACGCCUUGCCAAGAGGUAAACUUGGUAGUUAUCAUUUUCCAUUCAAUUAUUUAAAAUAGUUUGCUUAGUUAAUCAGGUUCAUAUCAUCUUGAAAAGAAAAAAAAUAAAAAUGUGAAAACCAGUAAGCCCCAUGUGAGUAUACAAGUGGCAUAAAACCCAUAAGUACAUUCACUGUGGUGGCAUAAAAAAUAAUAAAAUAAAAAUAUUCUUCUGCUCUAUAAAAAUAUAAAAAUAAAAUUGUGAUCCUACCAAAGAAAGUAGCAUUUAUUGAGGAGGCUCAAUAUGAUAAAGGCUAGAUAUUUAUUGUAAAACCUAAUCAGUUCCACAAAGCUUUGUUGUCUAUUUGAGCUCCACAGAAUUAGAGGAUCAAGAAGACUAGCAGACGGGGGACAUUCUAAUUGUUGUCAGGGUGCUGCCGACUUUCAAAUACACCACCACCACCUGCUAUCUACAUCAGAAGAAAUUACAUCAAAUUCCAGCUUGGGGGAGAGCACCCCUAGUUAUCCCGUUAAGUAUUUCUAUCUAUCUAUAUACUUAUACUAUAUUAAAAUAAAAAAAUAUAUACAUAACCAUGAAAAACCAAAUAAAGAUUUUGUGCUUAUAUAUAUAUAUCAUUUGCUUAGUAUGCUUAAUAAAUAAAUAAUGUGGCUAUGCUAAACUAAAUCUUAAUAAAACUCUAGCAUGGAUAUGAUGAAUAGUUGCUCUACCUAGUUUCAAAUCUGAAGUUCUCUCUCUCAAAGUUUAGACAUAACUAUUAUCAUUUAAAGCUUAUUCUAAAAACCUGAACUUGUGGGAAGAGAACUUGAUCUGAAGUCUAAGUUGUUAACGGAUAUGAUAUGGGAAGGUUGAGCUGCUGUUUAUCUAUUCCUAGAGAUGCUAAAAAUCUGGAGAAUUUUAUCUUUGAAAAUCUUUAAAAUAUCACAUGAUGAGUUCCUGUACGAUGAAAGUUUAAAUUCCUACCACAGCCAUACAUACAUGCUUGCUAGACUUUGAGCCACACAUUUACUUUUUACUGCUUAUGAGCAUUGAGUGUGGUCAAGCUGUGUAGACCCUUAGGAGCUUGUCAUGCGGUUAAAAUCAAGAUUCACUUGCACGUUCACUCACACCUGCUGCUUCUACUCUGGAAGUACGCAUCCACAUAUAUCCACUCAUUUCCAUCUCCAGAGCCACCCAAAAGUAUUCUAAUCCUAAUCCGGGAGAGAAUAGCCAAAAACAUUGUCCUAUUUCUGUUUUUCCCUGUGAAAUAAAUGCUCGAGUUAUCUUGGUUACUACCACUUGCUAUAUUAUUUUAGGAGAUGAGUGCUCUAAAAAAAGAGAAAGGAUACGAGGAAAUAAAAAGGGGCAAGUGCCCGGAACCUCGAAAGAAAAGAAAAAGUGAGACGAGAGGUAAAAAUGGACAAGUGUCCGACAGUAGAAUUUGGGGUACAAGAUACCCACCUGAGAGGAAAGAAAAAUAAAAUGUAGAGCAUCUCAUUCUCCUCAAAAAGUUUCAAAAGAGCAAGAACGGUAUGUAUCCCCUCAAAAGAGCAAAAAGUAGAAUUAGACUUUCACUAUUAUUAUCACCAUCAUCACCAUACACCAUUCAUUCGCCACACAUGCACAUCUUGAUUUAACUUAUUGACUUGUUCCUCUGGAUCUAUGGUUUGACUAUGCAAUAAAUGUCUUGUAAGUAUGUAUACUUUAUCUCAAACCUAUGAGCUCCAGAUAUCAAAAGCCUUAUUAAAGUAGGGUGAGAGAGAAGGCAAGGUCACUAUGCUUCAUACCACAAAUACUACAUACUUUGAGAGAAGGCAUAUACCAUCACUGCCUUGGUAAGGAUCCAGAAAUACCACAAAAGAGAGAUCUGAGAGAGUCAUACAAGGAAUCUCUGAGUUCUAUUUGAAAAUUUGCAAAAAACUCC